This 418-nucleotide unclassified non-coding RNA is filed under the name soil metagenome. Its description in RNAcentral is "partial contains 5.8S ribosomal RNA, internal transcribed spacer 2, and large subunit ribosomal RNA". The stretch from base 1 to 120 matches the Rfam family "5.8S ribosomal RNA", at positions 35 to 154 of the family's 154-position model. The record is from RNAcentral.
GAUGAAGAACGCAGCGAAAUGUGAUAAGUAAUGUGAAUUGCAGAAUUCAGUGAAUCAUCGAAUCUUUGAACGCAUCUUGCGCUCCUUGGUAUUCCUUGGAGCAUGCCUGUUUGAGUAUCAUGAGCAAAUCUCAAAGUCAAUUCCUUUUGUUGAUUCAAUUGGUUUUGCUUUGGACUUGGAGGCCUUGCAGAUUUCACAGUCUGCUCCUCUUAAAUGCAUUAGCUGGAUCUCAGUAAUUAUGCUUGGUUCCACUCGGCGUGAUAAGUAUCACUCGCUGAGGACACUGUUAAAAAGGUGGCCAGGAAAAUACUGAUUGAACCGCUUCUAACGGUCUAUUAAGUUAGACAAUUACCCUUAAGUUUGAUCUCAAAUCAGGUAGGACUACCCGCUGAACUUAAGCAUAUCAAUAAGCGGAGGA